GAUGAACGCUGGCGGCGUGCUUAACACAUGCAGGUCGAACGGGAUCCAAGGGGUGCUUGCACUUUUUGGUGAGAGUGGCGAACGGGUGAGUAACACGUGAGUAACCUGUCCUUUUCUUUGGGAUAAGCAUUCGAAAGGGUGUUUAAUACCUUAUGUUCUGUCUGCCUCGCAUGGGGUGGGUGGGAAAGGCUUUGGCCGGAUUUGGGUGGGCUCGCGGUCUAUCAGCUUGUUGGUGGGGUGAUGGCUUACCAAGGCUUUGACGGGUAGCCGGCCUGAGAGGGUGGUCGGUCACAUUGGGACUGAGAUACGGCCCAGACUCCUGCGGGAGGCAGCAGUGGGGGAUAUUGCACAAUGGGCGAAAGCCUGAUGCAGCGACGCCGCGUGGGGGAUGAAGGCCUUCGGGUUGUAAACUUCUUUUGCUCUGAACAAGGCAUGCCAGUGGGUGUGUUGAGUGUAGGGGUUGAUUAGCGCCGGCUAACUACGUG
RNAcentral lists this ribosomal RNA (485 nucleotides) under uncultured bacterium. Its description in RNAcentral is "partial 16S ribosomal RNA". It matches the Rfam family "Bacterial small subunit ribosomal RNA", at positions 28 to 507 of the family's 1533-position model. The record is from RNAcentral.